GCGUGCGAGAGAGUGAGUGACUGAGGAGUGGUUGUUUGUGUGUGUGUAUAGUUGCUUAUUAGUAUUUUAAAACCUACACAGUGAUCUUAUUUGAUCCGGUCUCAGCCCGGCUCUGCUUUGACCGGAGAUGAUAGUAAAAACGCUCACUAGCCACAUGGCGAUGAUGUGGAGCUGAACCGUGAAGGGCCUAUCUGCGCUUCGUGCUGCGGUCAGAGCUGAUGAAUGUGAUCAGAUAUACUAGUCACGAGUGGCCUUGGGGUUCGCUCCAAGCUCCACGGUGGACAAUGAGUAUAUAAGCGAUUCUGAUCUGA
Cololabis saira (Pacific saury) is the source of this 311-nucleotide non-coding RNA. RefSeq annotates it as small Cajal body-specific RNA 2. The transcript has a single exon. Lineage: Eukaryota; Metazoa; Chordata; Actinopteri; Beloniformes; Belonidae. The record is from RefSeq and is a predicted model, not a curated record.